RNAcentral lists this long non-coding RNA (242 nucleotides) under Ananas comosus (pineapple). Its description in RNAcentral is "long non-coding RNA (ACOM_LNC009824)". The record is from RNAcentral. Lineage: Eukaryota; Viridiplantae; Streptophyta; Magnoliopsida; Poales; Bromeliaceae.
CUAACACUCUACCUGCAUAUAACCCAGUCCUGACCGCUGGGCUCACGGGUUGACACAAGCAACCACUUUUCCGGAAAAGAACACUCCUUGCGGUGGAUCAGACCGCCAGUGUUCGUGAAAUGCGACGAGUCGGGCGAUCAAUGCUGAUAUGCUCAAAGGCCAACCGUCGGCAACCAGCCGACAAUCCUGCCCACAGGGCUCACCGACCGUAUAGGUCAUCGAUUGUGAAGAAGCACAAAAAC